This is an unclassified non-coding RNA of Gorilla gorilla gorilla (western lowland gorilla), 280 nucleotides long. It matches the Rfam family "Metazoan signal recognition particle RNA". Rfam says of the family: The signal recognition particle (SRP) is a universally conserved ribonucleoprotein. It is involved in the co-translational targeting of proteins to membranes. The record is from Ensembl. Lineage: Eukaryota; Metazoa; Chordata; Mammalia; Primates; Hominidae.
GCCUGGCACGGUGGCUCAUGCCUGUAAUCCCAGCACUUUGGGAGGCUGAGGUGGGAGGACUGCUUGAGCCCAGGAGUUCAAGACCAGCCUGGGCAAUGGCGAAACGCCGUCUCUACUCAAAAUACAAAAAUUAGCUGGGCAUAGUGGUGUGCACCUAUAAUCCCAGCUACUCAGGAGGCUGAGGCAGGAGAAGCUCUUGAACCUGGGAGGCGGAGGUUGCAGUGAGCUGAGAUCACGCCAUUGCACUCCAGCCUGGGCAACAGAGCAAGACUCUGUCUCA